Capsicum annuum is the source of this 1920-nucleotide long non-coding RNA. RefSeq lists it as uncharacterized. The transcript has 2 exons. NCBI's taxonomy places the organism in Eukaryota, Viridiplantae, Streptophyta, Magnoliopsida, Solanales, Solanaceae. The record is from RefSeq and is a predicted model, not a curated record.
AGUUGAUCGGAUGCCCCGAAUGUAACAGAGUCCAAAUAAUAGAAAAAGGACACAUAACAAUUGGACUCAGUGUAGCAACUCGGCCCAAGAUGACAGAAUUGGCGGGAGGGGCCUAUUUAAAUUGACCCGAAUCUGAUAGUUAUGAUUCUUUGGGAAAAAAUUGAAUGUUUUGCUUGAUUUUGUAUUUCAAUUUAGGGUUUGGAAGGAUCAAUUCUGUAGUUGCAGGAGCAGCAUACCGGAGACGGCGGAGAGUCGACUUCUAGCUUUCGUUGAUUCCCGAAAUUGUAGCAGAAGUAUUUUGUUUCCAUGUCUCAGAGGUUUAGCUUAUAAUGCUAUUAUUGUUUGAUUUUCGUCGAAAUGUAUUGUUCCAUUUCAUUAAUUUUUUUCCCCGAUCGGUGUUCGUUUUUAGUUAUUUUGCUGGCGAAACAACUUUGAAAAUGUUGAAUACAGCAAUAGGCUAAAUGCAUAAUUGAAGUCACGGACAAUUUUUUUUCAGAUUGAAGUCCACUUAGAGCUAAAUGCAUGUUGAAGUUUCAAAUAGCUGACCCAAAAUUUCUCUGUUGAGAUGUAAUUGUUGUUGUUGUUAUCGGUUUUAAUCAAUUGUUUGUUACUCAUUUUUUCCUUUUCAACGGGGGAUUAAUACUCUGGGUAUAUAAAUUAUAUGAUCGUACUGGUUCAGACUUCAGAGUUAUUACAAAAUCUAAUGUACCUCUACCUCCUUGAAUUGCCUUUAUCUACUCGUAUUAACAUAAAGUAUAUUGUUGAAUUUUCUUUGGCAAUCUGCCUACAACGAUUUUUAACCAUUUAUAUGCAAAGCAGUAGUAUCUUGUUAAUAAGAGCAAGUGCUGAUCUGUCGCUAAUAUAGAUAGAGUGUACAUUCCAUUCAUGAUUUGAAGCUGCACGAUAGUGCUGGUUUCUACUUAGGCAGUGACAUUGUUAUCCUUUACAUUGGCAUUGCUGCUUUGCAAAUUAUAUUGCUAUAGAAAUACAUAUGGCCCAACUAUAUUGCUCUAUGAUUUGCUACAGAGCAUGAACAUCCAUCCGUGCUUGAGCAUUUGCAGUUAUUGGUGCUGGAGUCUUUGGGCUCCGUAGCUUUGCAACCAUUGCUUAUUCUGAUGAGCAUGAAGAAGGUCCAGUUAUCCAUGGCCUCAUGAAGAGGAAUUGAGGAAGAAACUAAAGCCAUGGAGGCAGAAAUUGAGGUGGUCGAUGAGCCUAAUGAUGAAGGUUAGAUGUUCACUCGGCCAGAAAACUGAAUGAUCAACUUCCACAGCUUUAUGCUAACAAAGCAGCUGCCGGCUUUGAUAAUGGAUGAUCCUAUCCUCCUGAGUCCUGAUCUAUGUCUUAUGACUACGGUAAUCUUUUAAAAGAAGUCCUUCAAUUUCCCUCUCAGUGAAUGGUUGGACCACAGCAAGUGAGUUUCAGUUUCAGAUGACUGAACAAAUCAAUAAGAAAAGAAUUUGGAUUAAAUUGUAUUAUCAUAUAAGAUGCUCAGACUAGAAUAGCAAUUUAGAAUGGAUAGAGAGUAAAGAAAACUCUGUGCGCUCCUAGCUUAAUUUUUAACAGUGCAUUGAUAAGUAUGUGUGGCAAUGAUUUGUUUAGAUUUAUCUCCUCUCGGAGUGUAUGAUAGAGUUUGGAUUACCUAUAUAUCAAAAAAAUAAAGAAGAUAAAGAGUUUUUUUUUGUGAAAGAAAAGAAGAUAAGAGUUUGAAUUCAUCUAACUAAAUAUUGACAGUGAAUGAGAGGAUUCAUGAAGGUAAUUUUAUUUGAUUUCUUAACAUUUUGUAGGUAUAUGUAUGACACCGAAGACUAAAUGAUUUAAACCCUCUAAUUUCUUUUGCAAUAUGGAGAAGGAUUAUCUCUGUAUAGUAACAUUACAUGGAAUUGUAACUCAGUCUCUCGCAUAAGCAACUGUAGGAAGAAA